AUGGUGCGCGAGCCGAGCAGUUCAACGGUGGCAGGAGCACAGGGCAGCGGCAGCAGCAUGGAGGGCGUCCUCUUGGUUGGGAAGGUAAUGGAAAUGCAAAUAGGAGUGGUAGUGGCAACCAUGAUGCAAAUGCAAGUGAUUCCCAAAGAUCUUGGAAAGGAAUUAAAGAUAAUAACUUGUAUGAUCCUUGGAACCAUGCAUGGCCGUAUUAUGGGGGGUUUUGAUUGUGUGUACUACAGCCUAAAGCACAAAGGUGGAGGUGCAACCCGUGUCACGGAGCACCUUGGUGGUAUUGUAGACUUUAUCUAUAGAGAGAUUGAGAAGGUUGUAGAAGAGAUAGGCCAUGAACAUAUUGUUCAAAUAGUAACCGAUAAUGGGUCCAACUAUAAGAAAGCUUGCAAAACCCUUAUAGAAGAACCAAAAUACUCUCAUAUUGUUUGGCAACCGUGUGCUGCCCAGACCAUCAAUCUUAUGUUAAAAGAUAUAGCCAAAUUUCCCGAGGUUGAUGUGAUAGUCAAGAGUGCCAAGACAAUCUGUAGGUUCUUGCAUAAGCACAAUAACCUACAUGAUAACAUGAAGAAGAACAUACGUGGUGAACUAAUUAGACCAAAUGCCACCCGUUUUGGGACUGUCUUCAUGUUCCUUGAGAGUUACCAUUUGAAGAAAGAUAAAUUUAGGGAGUGGAUGGUUUCGACUGAUUGGAAGGAGUGUCAGUGGAGGUAUGAGCCUGGAUAUGUGUUUGCUGAAGAAUGUUUGUCUAGUAAUGUUUGGUCGAACACACUAGAGUGGGUAUUGGGUUUGUUGAGGCCACUUUAUAAGGCCAUGAGGUAUGCUGAUGCACAGAAACAAUGCACUCUUUCUGGAUUCAAGAAAAGUAUGAUGCUUGCAAUACAAUGGAUGGAAGCACAUCUAGGCCCUACAUCAAGGUUGUACCUUAGUUUCAUGCGCAAGGUGGGCAAGAGGAUAGAUGCAAUGGAAGAAGAUACAUUUAUGGUUGCAGCUGCCGUCCUUGAUCCAUAUACAAAUUACCAGCUCAACCUUUUCAACCAUACAGAUUAUGCUACCUCACUAACAGAUGCGAUAGCGAAGAUAUUAGAUCCAAAGAGUGCUCUUUUAGCCAUUGAUGAAGUAAGUAAGUUUAGGGAGUGCCAAGGCAGGUUUGGGACCAGAUUAGCAGAAGAAGCUACGGCGAGAAUGGAGCAAACCCAAUGGUGGUUUCAAUUUGGAGGGGAUGUUCCUGCAUUGCAGAAGUGUGCAAAGAGAAUUUUCUCACAAUCUGUCUCAUCGAGUGGGUGUGAGAGGAAUUGGAGCGCUUUUGUUUUGGUGCACACAAAGCCAAGAAAUCGUCUUUUAUAUGACAAGCUCCACAAGCUAGUUUCUGUCCGCUACAACCUAAAGGAUCCAAUUGUUGAUGGAGCUGAUGCAGCCAGUGCUGUUUUUGAGAAAAUAAGGCGUCUCAACUCAAGCAGGAAGGAUUCUUAUGUUGGUACAAAGGGUAAUAAGAAGAAAAGAAAGAUGAAUCAUGAUGAGGAGAAUGAGUAUGCCGAAACUGAGAGUGAGGAUGAAGAUGAAGAGAAUGAGUAUGUUGAUAAUGUGAGUGAGGAUGAUGAUGGGGUGAGUGAGGAUGACGAGGAUAAUCAACAAGAUCAGCAAGAGACACACAUGCAAGUGGAAGAAGAGACACAAGUACAAGCUGAAAAGGAGACAACAGCAAGUGUUGGCAAUUUGGAGACUCGUAGAUCUGGACGACUAGUUAGGAAGAAGACCAAGGAAGUGAACAACCUCUACUUGUAG
Molecule: ribosomal RNA, 1794 nt
Filed under: Triticum aestivum (bread wheat)
Lineage: Eukaryota; Viridiplantae; Streptophyta; Magnoliopsida; Poales; Poaceae
Description: partial small subunit ribosomal RNA
Source: RNAcentral